RNAcentral lists this ribosomal RNA (465 nucleotides) under uncultured bacterium. Its description in RNAcentral is "bacterial SSU rRNA". It matches the Rfam family "Bacterial small subunit ribosomal RNA", at positions 28 to 507 of the family's 1533-position model. The record is from RNAcentral.
GACGAACGCUGGCGGCGUGCUUAACACAUGCAAGUCGAACGGUGAACCAGGGCUUGCCCUGGGGAUCAGUGGCGAACGGGUGAGUAACACGUGGGCAACCUGCCCCUGACUCUGGGAUAACUCCUCGAAAGAGGUGCUAAUACCGGAUACGACCACUUCGGGCAUCCGAUGGUGGUGGAAAGAAUUUUGGUCAGGGGAUGGGCCCGCGGCCUAUCAGCUUGUUGGUGGGGUAACGGCCCACCAAGGCGACGACGGGUAGCCGGCCUGAGAGGGUGACCGGCCACACUGGGACUGAGACACGGCCCAGACUCCUACGGGGGGCAGCAGUGGGGGAUCUUGCACAAUGGGCGAAAGCCUGAUGCAGCGACGCCGCGUGAGCGAAGAAGGCCUUCGGGUUGUAAAGCUCUGUCUGGAGGGACGAACAAAAUGACGGUACCUCCGGAGGAAGCCACGGCUAACUACGUG